CCUACGGGGGGCAGCAGUGGGGAAUCUUGCGCAAUGGGCGAAAGCCUGACGCAGCAACGCCGCGUGCGGGAAGAAGGCUCUCGGGUUGUAAACCGCUUUCAGCAGGAACGAAAAUGACGGUACUUGCAGAAGAAGGUGCGGCCAACUACGUGCCAGCAGCCGCGGUGACACGUAGGCACCAAGCGUUGUCCGGAUUUAUUGGGCGUAAAGAGCUCGUAGGCGGUUCGGUAAGUCAGGUGUGAAAACUUUGGGCUUAACCCAAAGCCUGCAUCUGAUACUG
Molecule: ribosomal RNA, 280 nt
Filed under: uncultured bacterium
Lineage: Bacteria
Description: partial 16S ribosomal RNA
Rfam family: Bacterial small subunit ribosomal RNA
Source: RNAcentral